This 460-nucleotide ribosomal RNA is filed under the name uncultured bacterium. RNAcentral's name for it is "partial 16S ribosomal RNA". It matches the Rfam family "Bacterial small subunit ribosomal RNA", at positions 338 to 795 of the family's 1533-position model. The record is from RNAcentral.
CCUACGGGAGGCAGCAGUGAGGAAUAUUGGUCAAUGGGCGGGAGCCUGAACCAGCCAAGUCGCGUGAGGGAAGACGGUCCUAGGGAUUGUAAACCUCUUUAGGCGGGGAGCAAUGCCGGGCACGCGUGCCUGGAGGGAGAGUACCCGCAGAAUAAGCAUCGGCUAACUCCGUGCCAGCAGCCGCGGUAAUACGGAGGAUGCGAGCGUUAUCCGGAUUUAUUGGGUUUAAAGGGUGCGUAGGCGGAUUUUUAAGUCAGCGGUAAAAUGUCCGGGCUCAACCCGGGCCGGCCGUUGAAACUGGGGAUCUUGAGUGGGCGAGAAGUAUGCGGAAUGCGUGGUGUAGCGGUGAAAUGCAUAGAUAUCACGCAGAACUCCGAUUGCGAAGGCAGCAUACUGGCGCCCGACUGACGCUGAGGCACGAAAGCGUGGGGAUCGAACAGGAUUAGAUACCCGGGUAGUC